CGCAUGGCCUUCUGGGAAAUGUAGUUUGGGGGGGUUGCUAUUGCCUACAGUGCUUUUGGCGAGAGCCCUUCCGAAAUGCACAAUUGCAGGAGGAAAAGGGGAGACCAAUGCCCCAGGAUGUCUCCUCCUAACCUUUGUGCACACAUUCUUUGUGACAUCAGACUCUCUCAAGCUCACUGAACACGCCCAACAGCCCCAAACCUCGCUCUGCCCAAGACGCCCCUUUAAGCAAUGAGCCAGCCAGCUGGCUGGCGCCCCUUCCAGGGCUGGCGGCCACGAAGCGAAUCCGUGCCCCUGUAGAUCGAAUAGGGCAUUGUGUCUGAAAUUGCUAAAGGGCAAAAAGGACCCAAGUCUUUUAAUUCUAUUUGAAUCUGGAGCAGCACAUAACAAGUAGUCUUUAGAUUUCUGGAGGAGAAUGAGACCAAGCAGGUCCUGCUAAUCUAGUGAAGGAGGUUGUGCUGGGCCAGUCCCAAUUCCAGCUCACCUGAAGGGAUAGCCGAACAAAACAAUGAUGGAGCUCACGUCCUUGGCUUCAUUGUUGCAGCGAACCAUUGCUCCUGUCUCCCCGCUGUAGGAGCCGCAGGACCCAAAGGCGAAAAUAGCAAAGAGCUGAGAAAGAGUGAAGCCCUUUGAGAGUCAGAAGGACUCACCUGGACAAGAGAUCCUAGAGUAAAAAAAUGGUCUCUGGCACCCCAAAGGCAAAAUAAUCAUCAGGAGGGCACACCCAGCUAAAGGUGCUGGUCAUCUGGAUUGCUGAUAAUGGCUCCACUCCUUCUGGAUGCCAGUCACUUGGAGCCUUAAUAUCAUUCUUAUAUAGCAGCCUCUAGUGUUUGAGCAGUGGAUCAGAACAGCGAAGUGGCAGCAGGUGAAAGAGCUCAGUCAGCAGUAGGUUCUGUGGCUUUUGAGGCAGUAGGAAUAGUGGAAAGUCCCACCAAGUCCCUGAGUUUGCACUUUGGAGCUCCCUAUAGUCCUAAUCAAGAUCUCAGAUAUUCAGAUAAUCCUAAAUGCACUAUUGCUCCUGAAUUCCAGAUUUGAUGAUUCUCAUCCAAACCAUGAUUUAGGAGUUGGUGAUACAGUGCUAAUUCCUGUCUCCAGUGAGUUCAAAGUUCUUUAGAACUCAAUCUUCCUAAGUAUUAAUGUUAAUUUAUUCCCUCACUGAAUUCUGUGCUGAAAGAACAUUAAUUAUUUCUACACCAUUUGAUGUGUGGAUUGUCUAACUUAAAAUGUCUUCUUCAAUAGUGCACGAAUGCCUCCCCCCAACAAAUCUUUAUGUACCACACCUGUCCACAUUAGUAAUUUAUACUCUUGGACACUGGGAAGAGCAGACAGCAUACUAAUAUCUUAAAAUACCAGUGAAGAAAUUAGAUGGUAUUUCCACUAGGCCAAAACAGGGAAAGCAAGGAUGCAGGCAAAUGAGUUUUUCAAGGUCACAGGGUAAACCUAACAGCAUGCCACCUGAUCUAGAGCAUAAGGGAUCCUAGGGACAGUCAGAUCCACAUUUGACUAAUGUUGGA
Long non-coding RNA from Heterocephalus glaber (naked mole-rat), 1514 nucleotides. RefSeq lists it as uncharacterized. NCBI's taxonomy places the organism in Eukaryota, Metazoa, Chordata, Mammalia, Rodentia, Bathyergidae. The record is from RefSeq and is a predicted model, not a curated record.